GACGAACGCUGGCGGCGUGCUUAACACAUGCAAGUCGAACGGAAAGGCCUGCUUUCCCUUGUGGAUUGCGGGUACUCGAGUGGCGAACGGGUGAGUAACACGUGAGUGAUCUGCCCCCAACUUGGGUAUAAGCCUGGGAAACUGGGUCUAAUUCCCGAUAGGACUGCAGGGUGGUGCCUGUGGUGGAAAACGAUUUUCUAGUGGUUGGGGAUGAGCUCGCGGCCUAUCAGCUUGUUGGUGGGGUAAUGGCCUACCAAGGCGGCGACGGGUAGCCGGCCUGAGAGGGUGGACGGCCACAUUGGGACUGAGAUACGGCCCAGACUCCUACGGGAGGCAGCAGCGGGGAAUAUUGCACAAUGGGCGGAAGCCUGAUGCAGCGACGCCGCGUGGGGGAUGACGGCCUUCGGGUUGUAAACUCCUUUCGACCGCGAGGAAGCCACCUGGUUGGAAGGGUGGUGACGGUAGUGGUAGAAGAAGCACCGGCUAACUACGUG
RNAcentral lists this ribosomal RNA (494 nucleotides) under uncultured bacterium. RNAcentral describes it as "partial 16S ribosomal RNA". It matches the Rfam family "Bacterial small subunit ribosomal RNA", at positions 28 to 507 of the family's 1533-position model. The record is from RNAcentral.